AGGCCGGCGAGCUAGUCUGCAGUCGACGCUUCUUUCCUCCCCGAGUGCUUGCACUCAUUUGGAAAGAGGAGUGGCGGACGGGUGAGUAACACGUGGGUAACCUACCCAUCAGAGGGGGAUAACACUUGGAAACAGGUGCUAAUACCGCAUAACAGUUUAUGCCGCAUGGCAUAAGAGUGAAAGGCGCUUUCGGGUGUCGCUGAUGGAUGGACCCGCGGUGCAUUAGCUAGUUGGUGAGGUAACGGCUCACCAAGGCCACGAUGCAUAGCCGACCUGAGAGGGUGAUCGGCCACACUGGGACUGAGACACGGCCCAGACUCCUACGGGAGGCAGCGGUAGGGAAUCUUCGGCAAUGGACGAAAGUCUGACCGAGCAACGCCGCGUGAGUGAAGAAGGUUUUCGGAUCGUAAAACUCUGUUGUUAGAGAAGAACAGGGACGUUAGUAACUGAACGUCCCCUGACGGUAUCUAACCAGA
Molecule: ribosomal RNA, 476 nt
Filed under: Enterococcus sp.
Lineage: Bacteria; Bacillati; Bacillota; Bacilli; Lactobacillales; Enterococcaceae
Description: bacterial SSU rRNA
Rfam family: Bacterial small subunit ribosomal RNA
Source: RNAcentral